CAGCAGUAGGGAAUAUUGCGCAAUGGGGGAAACCCUGACGCAGCAACGCCGCGUGGAGGAUGACACUUUUCGGAGCGUAAACUCCUUUUCUUAGGGAAGAAUUCUGACGGUACCUAAGGAAUAAGCACCGGCUAACUCCGUGCCAGCAGCCGCGGUAAUACGGAGGGUGCAAGCGUUACUCGGAAUCACUGGGCGUAAAGGGCGCGUAGGCGGAUUAUCAAGUCUCUUGUGAAAUCUAAUGGCUUAACCAUUAAACUGCUUGGGAAACUGAUAGUCUAGAGUGAGGGAGAGGCAGAUGGAAUUGGUGGUGUAGGGGUAAAAUCCGUAGAUAUCACCAAGAAUACCCAUUGCGAAGGCGAUCUGCUGGAACUCAACUGACGCUAAGGCGCGAAAGCGUGGGGAGCAAACAGGAUUAGAU
RNAcentral lists this ribosomal RNA (418 nucleotides) under Campylobacter jejuni. RNAcentral's name for it is "bacterial SSU rRNA". It matches the Rfam family "Bacterial small subunit ribosomal RNA", at positions 349 to 783 of the family's 1533-position model. Lineage: Bacteria; Pseudomonadati; Campylobacterota; Epsilonproteobacteria; Campylobacterales; Campylobacteraceae. The record is from RNAcentral.